AACGAGAGGAGAGGAAGCUUGCUUCUUCAGAAUCGAGUGGCAAACGGGUGAGUAACGCGUAAACAACCUGCCCCCGGGAUGGGGACAACAGCUGGAAACGGCUGCUAAUACCGAAUACGAUCAUACUGCCGCAUGGCAGCAUGAUGAAAGGAUGGCCUCUUAAAAAAGCUAUCGCACGGGGAGGGGUUUGCGUCUGAUUAGCUGGUUGGAGGGGUAACGGCCCACCAAGGCGAUGAUCAGUAGCCGGUCUGAGAGGACGAACGGCCACAUUGGAACUGAGACACGGUCCAGACUCCUACGGGAGGCAGCAGUGGGGAAUCUUCCGCAAUGGGCGAAAGCCUGACGGAGCAACGCCGCGUGAGUGAAGACGGCCUUCGGGUUGUAAAGCUCUGUUAUAUGGGACGAACGGCUGUGGGGCCAAUACCCCCGCAGCGUGACGGUACUG
Molecule: ribosomal RNA, 445 nt
Filed under: uncultured Megasphaera sp.
Lineage: Bacteria; Bacillati; Bacillota; Negativicutes; Veillonellales; Veillonellaceae
Description: bacterial SSU rRNA
Rfam family: Bacterial small subunit ribosomal RNA
Source: RNAcentral